UACGGGGGGAGCAAGCGUUGUUCGGAUUUACUGGGCGUAAAGGGCGCGUAGGCGGCGCAACAAGUCACUUGUGAAAUCUCCGGGCUUAACCUGGGAACUGCAUCCGAUACUGGAUGGCUUGAAUCCGGGAGAGGGAUGCAGAAUUCCAGGUGUAGCGGUGAAAUGCGUAGAUAUCUGGAGGAAUACCGGUGGCGAAGGCGGCAUCCUGGACCGGCAUUGACGCUGAGUGAGCGAAAGCUAGGGGAGCAAACGGG
RNAcentral lists this ribosomal RNA (254 nucleotides) under uncultured bacterium. RNAcentral describes it as "partial 16S ribosomal RNA". It matches the Rfam family "Bacterial small subunit ribosomal RNA", at positions 524 to 776 of the family's 1533-position model. The record is from RNAcentral.